This 460-nucleotide ribosomal RNA is filed under the name uncultured bacterium. Its description in RNAcentral is "partial 16S ribosomal RNA". It matches the Rfam family "Bacterial small subunit ribosomal RNA", at positions 338 to 795 of the family's 1533-position model. The record is from RNAcentral.
CCUACGGGGGGCAGCAGUGAGGAAUAUUGGUCAAUGGGCGCGAGCCUGAACCAGCCAAGUAGCGUGAAGGAUGACUGCCCUACGGGUUGUAAACUUCUUUUAUAAAGGAAUAAAGUGAGGCACGUGUGCCUUUUUGUAUGUACUUUAUGAAUAAGGAUCGGCUAACUCCGUGCCAGCAGCCGCGGUAAUACGGAGGAUCCGAGCGUUAUCCGGAUUUAUUGGGUUUAAAGGGAGCGUAGAUGGGUUGUUAAGUCAGUUGUGAAAGUUUGCGGCUCAACCGUAAAAUUGCAAUUGAUACUGGCAGCCUUGAGUACAGUUGAGGUAGGCGGAAUUCGUGGUGUAGCGGUGAAAUGCUUAGAUAUCACGAAGAACUCCGAUUGCGAAGGCAGCUUACUAAACUAUAACUGACACUGAAGCACGAAAGCGUGGGGAUCAAACAGGAUUAGAUACCCCUGUAGUC